This 355-nucleotide unclassified non-coding RNA is filed under the name soil metagenome. Its description in RNAcentral is "partial contains 5.8S ribosomal RNA, internal transcribed spacer 2, and large subunit ribosomal RNA". The stretch from base 1 to 120 matches the Rfam family "5.8S ribosomal RNA", at positions 35 to 154 of the family's 154-position model. The record is from RNAcentral.
GAUGAAGAACGUAGUGAAAUGCGAUAAGUAAUGUGAAUUGCAGAAUUCAGUGAAUCAUCGAAUCUUUGAACGCACAUUGCGCCCAUUAGUAUUCUAGUGGGCAUGCCUGUUCGAGCGUCAUUAAGUCCACUUAAGCCCUGCUUAGUGUUGGGAGACUGCUCCAGCGGUGCUACCCUGUAGCUACCCUGCAGCUCCUCAAAGACAGCGGCGGAGUUGUGGUAUCCUCUGAGCUUAGUAACUUGUUCUAGCUUUCGAGUACACCACUUCCCCUGACGUAAAACCCUUAAUUUUUAAUGGUUGACCUCGGAUCAGGUAGGAAUACCCGCUGAACUUAAGCAUAUCAAUAAGCGGAGGA